This 190-nucleotide non-coding RNA is filed under the name bacterium. RNAcentral's name for it is "6S RNA". It matches the Rfam family "6S / SsrS RNA". Rfam says of the family: E. coli 6S RNA was the first non coding RNA to be sequenced, but its function was unknown until recently. It consists of 184 nucleotides that fold into an extended hairpin structure with a large single-stranded internal bulge. The record is from RNAcentral. RNAcentral also lists the same sequence under 1 other name.
AUAGGCCUGUUCCGUGCGUGGAGAUAAAUAGACCUCUUGAGCCAACACUGAUAAUAUUGGGAACCAAGGCCGGGUAGGGCCAACAUGCCCGCCAAGUAUUGUGGCGGGAAGUUGAAACUAUUCGGGGAGGUUCCCACCUCUAAAAGAGGGUCUCAAAGAGGAAAUAUCUCUGCGGCGGAACGGGCUAAUU